UAAAAUGUAACAUUUUGUAGGUUCUGGAGUGUGAUCAAUAAUUUACAUUACUAUGUGCAAAAGCAUAGUAAAAAAUAAAUGUAUGGCUUACUUCAGGGAUUGCUGGUUUGCUCAAUAUUUGGAAGUCUAUUCGUGUAAGCAGUCCAGAGCCACCUGGAUAAUACAGCUAAAAAGAAUGGAAUAGGACCAUGGCUUUAUUUGUUGGUCUAUGGAACUGAGACCAUGGUUAAGAGUGACAGCCAGGAGCAUUUGAAUUUCCCCAAUGGGGGUUGAAAUUCUUGGGACUAGUGCAAGAAGGAUCAGAGCAAAAGCAUUUGCCAAGAUUGUUUUAAUUAAUUAAGAAUGAGAGAGUUUUAAGGAUAAUCAAAUACCAUGGUAAUUCUGACCAUAAAAUAAUUAAUGGUGACUAGUGAUACAAUGGCAUUAUUUCCAUGACCCUCUGGGAAGGUUCUGGAAAGCCAAAGUCUUUGGAUU
RNAcentral lists this non-coding RNA (474 nucleotides) under Mustela putorius furo (domestic ferret). Its description in RNAcentral is "Eukaryotic small subunit ribosomal RNA". It matches the Rfam family "Eukaryotic small subunit ribosomal RNA", at positions 641 to 1113 of the family's 1831-position model. Lineage: Eukaryota; Metazoa; Chordata; Mammalia; Carnivora; Mustelidae. The record is from Rfam by way of RNAcentral.